GGUUUGAUUAUGGCUCAGAUUGAACGCUGGCGGGAUGCUUUACACAUGCAAGUCGAACGGCAGCACGGACUUCGUCUGGUGGCGAGGGCGAACGGGUGAGUGUACGUAUCGAAUGUGCCUAGUAGCGGGGGAUAACUACGCGAAAGGUAGCUAAUGUUAACGCAUACGUUCUUCGGGGGAAAGCGGGGACCUUCGGGCCUCGCACUCAUUUAGAGCGGCCGAUAUCGGAUUAGCUUAGUUGGUGGGGUAACGGCUCACCAAGGCGACGAUCCGUAGCUGGUUUGAGAGGAUGACCAGCCACACUGGGACUGAGACACGGCCCAGACUCCUACGGGAGGCAGUGGGGGAAUUUUACAUGCACUGGGGAAACCCCUGAUCCAGCCAUCCGCGUGGCAAGGCCUCGGGCAUCGGCAGCAUCUUUGGCAGGAAAGAAACGGCACGGAUAAUACCCGCAAAUUGACGGUACCUGCAGAAUAAGCACCGGCUACGUGCCAGCAGCCGCGGUAAUACGUAGGGUGCAAGCGUUAAUCGGAAUUACUGGGCGUAAAGCGUGCGCAGGCGGUUCGGAAAGAAAGAUGUGAAAUCCUGAGUUUAAUUUGGAACUGCAUUUUUAACUACCGAGCUUUCAGAGUGUGUCAGGAGGGAGGUGAAUUCCGCGCAGUGAACGUGUAGAUAUGCGGAGGAACAAUUGAUGGCGAAGGCAGCCUGGGAUAACACUGACGUCACGCACAAGAGGCGUGGGGAGCAAACAGGAUUAGAUACCCUGGUAGUCCACGCCCUAAACGAUGUCAACUUAGCUGUUGGGGCUCUCUGGCCUUGGUAGCGCAGCUAACGCGUGAAGUUGACUCCCGCUCUGGGGGAGUACGGUCGCAAGAUUAAAACUCAAAGGAAUUAUUAGACCCGCACAAGCGGUGGAUGAUGUGGAUUAAUUCGAUACAACGCGAAAACCUUACCUACCCUUGACAUGUCUGGAAUCCUGAAGAGAUUUGGGAGUGCUCGCAAGAGAACCGAACACAGGUGCUGCAUGGCUGUCGUCAGCUCGUGUCGUGGAGAUGCUGGGUUAAGUCCUGCAACGAGCGCAACCUUGUCAUUAGUUGCUACGAAAGGGCACUCUAAUGAGACUGCCGGUGACAAACCGGAGGAAGGUGGGGAUGACGUCAAGUCCUCAUGGCCCUUAUGGGUAGGCUUCACACGUCAUACAAUGGCCGGGACAGAGGGUCGCCAACCCGCGAGGGGAGCCACAAUCCUGAACCGUGAUCAACUGGAUCGCAGUCUGCAACUCGACUGCGUGAAGUCGGAAUCGCCAGUAAUCGCGGAUCAGCAUGUCGCGGUGAAUACGUUCCCGGGUCUUGUACACACCGCCCGUCACACCAUGGGAGUGGGUUUUACCAGAAGUAGUUAUCAACCGCGAGGGCGAUUACCACGGUAGGAUUCAUGACUGGGGUGAAGUCGUAACAAGGUAACUCUGUGCCAUACCUGAUGCU
RNAcentral lists this ribosomal RNA (1484 nucleotides) under uncultured Bordetella sp. Its description in RNAcentral is "partial 16S-23S ribosomal RNA intergenic spacer". It matches the Rfam family "Bacterial small subunit ribosomal RNA". Lineage: Bacteria; Pseudomonadati; Pseudomonadota; Betaproteobacteria; Burkholderiales; Alcaligenaceae. The record is from RNAcentral.